RNAcentral lists this unclassified non-coding RNA (378 nucleotides) under plant metagenome. RNAcentral's name for it is "partial contains 5.8S ribosomal RNA, internal transcribed spacer 2, and large subunit ribosomal RNA". The stretch from base 1 to 105 matches the Rfam family "5.8S ribosomal RNA", at positions 50 to 154 of the family's 154-position model. The record is from RNAcentral.
GAAAUGCGAUAAGUAAUGUGAAUUGCAGAAUUCAGUGAAUCAUCGAAUCUUUGAACGCACCUUGCGCUCCUUGGUAUUCCUUGGAGCAUGCCUGUUUGAGUAUCAUGAAAUCUUCAAAGUAAAUCUUUUGUUAACUCAAUUGGUUUCUACUUUGGUAUUGGAGGUCUUUGCAGCUUCACACCUGCUCCUCUUUGUUCAUUAGCUGGAUCUCAGUGUUAUGCUUGGUUCCACUCGGCGUGAUAAGUUAUCUAUCGCUGAGGACACUGUAAAAGGUGGCCAAGGUAAAUGCAGAUGAACCGCUUCUAAUAGUCCAUUGACUUGGACAAUACUUUUAUGAUCUGAUCUCCAAUCAGGUAGUACUACCCGCUGAACUUAAGC